This 492-nucleotide ribosomal RNA is filed under the name uncultured soil bacterium. Its description in RNAcentral is "bacterial SSU rRNA". It matches the Rfam family "Bacterial small subunit ribosomal RNA", at positions 26 to 521 of the family's 1533-position model. The record is from RNAcentral.
AGAAUGAACGCUGGCGGCGUGCUUUACACAUGCAAGUCGAGCGAGGCGGCCCGCAAGGGUCAGUCGAGCGGCGAACGGGUGAGUAACACGUGGAUAACCUGCCCAGAGGUGGGGGAUAACCCGGGGAAACUCGGGCUAAUACCGCAUGAUACCGAGAGGUCAAAGGGGGCUCGCAAGGGCUCUCGCCAUUGGAGGGGUCCGCGUCCGAUUAGCUAGUUGGUAGGGUAACGGCCUACCAAGGCGACGAUCGGUAGCCGGCCUGAGAGGGUGAUCGGCCACACUGGAACUGAGACACGGUCCAGACUCCUACGGGAGGCAGCAGUGGGGAAUUUGCGCAAUGGGCUAACGCCUGACGCAGCAACGCCGCGUGGAGGAUGAAGGUCCUUGGAUUGUAAACUCCUGUCAGCAGGGAAAAGCGACUUAGCCUAAUACGCUAGAAGUUGAUUGUACCUGCAGAGGAAGCCCGGCUAACUCUGUGCCAGCAGCCGCGGU